This 69-nucleotide transfer RNA is filed under the name Orohermes crepusculus. RNAcentral describes it as "tRNA-Gln". Lineage: Eukaryota; Metazoa; Arthropoda; Insecta; Megaloptera; Corydalidae. The record is from RNAcentral.
UAUAUUUUAGUAUAAGAUGUACAAAAGUUUUUGAUACUUUUAGAGAUAGUUUAAUUCUAUCAAAUAUAA